AUAUCUUUCUCAGUCUUUUGGCUAAAAUCAAGUAUAGUAUAUGUUCUUAUUAAUUAAAUAUUUGAUAAGUGAGCCAUCGGUCUAUUACGAUGUUAAAUUAAUUUUUUAUUGGGAGAGGGUUCACCAUAGUAGUUUGCUACUGGGAUCCUCGUGUGUGUCGCCCUUACGUUGCACCAUAGUAUGGGUUUGAUGCAUCUAAC
Molecule: small nuclear RNA, 200 nt
Organism: Zingiber officinale
Lineage: Eukaryota; Viridiplantae; Streptophyta; Magnoliopsida; Zingiberales; Zingiberaceae
Product: U2 spliceosomal RNA
Exons: 1
Source: RefSeq, a predicted model, not a curated record